UACGGAGGGUGCAAGCGUUGUUCGGAAUUACUGGGCGUAAAGCGCGCGUAGGUGGUCUGUUACGUCAGAUGUGAAAGUCCACGGCUCAACCGUGGAAGUGCAUUUGAAACUGGCAGACUUGAGUACUGGAGGGGGUAGUGGAAUUCCCGGUGUAGAGGUGAAAUUCGUAGAUAUCGGGAGGAAUACCGGUGGCGAAGGCGACUACCUGGCCAGAUACUGACACUGAGGUGCGAAAGCGUGGGGAGCGAACAGAAUUAGAAACCCCAGUAGUCC
Molecule: ribosomal RNA, 273 nt
Filed under: uncultured bacterium
Lineage: Bacteria
Description: partial 16S ribosomal RNA
Rfam family: Bacterial small subunit ribosomal RNA
Source: RNAcentral